GACGAACGCUGGCGGCGUGCUUAACACAUGCAAGUCGAACGGAAAGGCCUUGCUUUUGUGGGGUGCUCGAGUGGCGAACGGGUGAGUAACACGUGAGUAACCUGCCCUUGACUUUGGGAUAACUUCAGGAAACUGGGGCUAAUACCGGAUAGGAGCUCCUGCUGCAUGGUGGGGGUUGGAAAGUUUCGGCGGUUGGGGAUGGACUCGCGGCGUAUCAGCUUGUUGGUGGGGUAGUGGAUUACCAAGGCUUCGAGGGGUAGCCGGCCUGAGAGGGUGACCGGCCACACAGGAGCGGGGACACGGGACAGACUCCUACGGGAGGCAGGAGGAGGGAAUCUUCCGCAAUGGGCGAGAGCCUGACGGAGCAACGCCGCGUGAGUGAUGAAGUGCUUCGGAUCGUAAAACUCUGUUAUGAGGGAAGAACAAAUGUGUAAGUAAAUAUGCACGUCUUGACGGUACCUAAGCAGAAAGCCACGGCUAACUACGU
This 487-nucleotide ribosomal RNA is filed under the name uncultured bacterium. Its description in RNAcentral is "partial 16S ribosomal RNA". It matches the Rfam family "Bacterial small subunit ribosomal RNA", at positions 28 to 506 of the family's 1533-position model. The record is from RNAcentral.